GCACACAUCACUUGCUAAUCAGGGUGUGUGCUGGGCCCAGGGAAAAAAGGCUUGGCCUCAUAGAAGCGGCAAAGGGCUCCUGGGGCAUCUGCAGCCUCCCCGGCCAACAAAAAAGUGGGGGCAGGGAGAGAUGGAGCCGCAAGUUGAGAAGUGUCACAAAGCUGGGAAUGAGGAAAGAGAUCAGGUGCUGGCAGACGCCAGACCCAGAAGAUGCUGUGUAGUCGAGGCUCCAGGUUCCAUGCCAAGGGGCUGGAUUCUCCCUGGUAGUAAAUCAUCUCUCACUCUCUCCUCCAAAUGACUGUACCGCUGGUGACGCCACUCGGCGAGCGCAAGUGGAUAAAUAGAAACGUCUGCCACAGCGAAGAUGAAAGGAAACCCGCAGCUAAUGGCUCGGCAGUGAUGCGCCAGGUGUGGGCCUCGCUCGAUUGGGGAGGAGAGUGUGAAAACAGACAGAGAGACACACACACUGAGAGAGGGAGACACCCAGGCAGAGGGGAUGCAAAUGGAAUGCCGCAGAAAGAAAAGAGAGCUUAACGCGCGCGGCGAGUUCCGCAGGGGCAGCGGGACUAGAUGGCCUUAAGUUUUCCACAGCCUGGCUUCAUCUUGAGAUGGCUAUUCGUACAAGAAGUCGCUUUCCCGUUUGCCUGGACCUCGCCUGCACUCCAGGUAUGUUGGGUGGGGAGAGUUUCUAAGAGUUGUCUUUUUUUUUCCUUGCCCAUAUUUUAAAGUAUUCGUUCAGAAUCAACGAAUUCUCCUGGAAAGAGAUUUUUCGAAUGAAGAGGCGCCAGGAAUGCGGCCCCUGCUGUGGCAGUACUGGAGGCCCCUACCUGGGAGAAGGCAGUAGCUUUCACCGCGCUAUUUUGGGCAGGGAUUCAGCCUCCCUGAGUACAAAAAGGUUGGGGUUCAUAGAGGUUUGACUCAUAAGGUCCUCUCCCAAGUCCCUGCCUAGGGGCAGUGGUACCUGUCUCCAAAAGUGGAUGGCGUUUGAGGUAGAAGAGAGUGAAGUCGCUGAAAAUGCCCUAAAACAGCAAGUAAGUAGGGGCUCUGAUGAAGGGCUGGAGGUGGGAGCAGGGGUUGUUGAACUUGAUAUCUGGGAGCUGCCAUAGGCCUCUCUUGGCUCCUCUCCCAGGGAAGAAGCUGGUAUAAAACUCCUUCAAACUUACCCUUUUUGAGCUCCAAGCAAGUGUGCUGGGGCCAGGUGGGUGGGCUGAGUCAUUCCCCACAUUGCUGAGGGCAGGAGGUGGGCACCUUCUAUGCUCAACCCCCCUUUCUCCGCCUCCUCCCGAAGAGCUUCUAGCCCUAGGCAGCCAGCUGCAAAGGGCAGCCCAGCACCUCCCUCCUUUCUGUGUCCCUAGCAAUGCCCCAGCUUUUACAGGUAAGUCCUCUUCCGUGACCUUUUUGUCUGUUAUCUCCUACUUUUCUCUCCUCCUUUUUCUCUUUCUGUAUUCUUCUCCCUCUUUGCUUCUCUCCUCCAUCUUCCUAUCCAUAGGGUUAAGGAAGGUAGAGGAAGUAAGGGGUCCAAAGAAAGACAAAGUUUCCUCUUCACUCCGGCUUUCCACUUCUCUUUCAGUCUAAGACGAUGUUCAUUAAUCUUGCCUGGGGGCGGAGGCAGCGGGAUCCGGAAGGUAGUGUCCACAUAGAUAUUUCUACUCCUUGGGACUCCUGAAGCCACUAUGUGCUGAGCACUGCUAGCCCCAAAAUCCAGGGAAAUGUUUUAGAGGUGAGAGGAUCAAUUGGGAGUGAGGGGAGUCAAAUCCUAGAACCUUUUCCUGCCUUGGAGAGCUGUCCAGGUAUUCUAUCUUUCUCUGUCCUCCCUACCAGCAGCCACAGCCUGAGGGAGCACCUGGCUUGCUCUCUUUCCUGUCAAUGGCAAGCCCCCUGGGCAUCUGUCUUAGAGCUUCCACGGUUGCCUACUCUCUAUAGGGCCCUCCAGCACUGGGCCUUUGCGGUGCCCACCCUCCUCUCCUCCUUGAGCGCUUAACCUUCUAGUGAGUAGCCUGCUGCCCCCAUCUCCUGGGGGCUGGGUCCUCAGAGGGACUCCUGGCUCCCCACCCUGCCCCCAGCUCUGCAUUGAACGGGAAUCCUCUGUUUGAUCCGCUUUUCUUCUGGGUGAGAUGAAAGCCGAGUAGGAGUGAGAGAUCAAGGAGUGCCACUUAGUCUCCUUUCUGGGUCGGGCACUACGGAGCAGGGCUUACAUCCCGCGGAGAGGGCUGGAUGGAGCUGAGGACCAGCUUUUCAGAGGGAGGUUGCCUCCCUCGGGCUCCAGAUCUGAAGCUUCAGGGACACAUCCCCUCAGCCCAAAGCCUUCCCCAGCCCUCUCCCGACUUCUGCCCCGCUCUUUCAAAGCUGACUGUUUGGCCAGUCCUAGGAGCCUAGGGAACCACCCCCACCCCCGCCCCUUUCCACCGGCGCAUUAGGGGGAAAACGUUUUAACCAAAUGUCACUUCUUCCAAAAGCAUCCUUUCAUCAACCUCACAUUAACAGCGGUUGGGUUUUUAAAGGAAAGAAGACAAAAAAAGAGAGGACUGGAUAAGAACACUGUUUUGGUUUUUUGGGCGGUGAAUGUGGGGGGAGUAUUUAAUAACAUCGUUAUCACUGUGUCGUGAAGGUUAUUCGCGGCGCGGCUCGAGAAGGAAGGUAAAUUCCGAGAGCAAGUGAAGCCCUGCACAACCCCAUUAAGCCUGGGCAAUCCCAUGACAGCGGAGAGGGGGUGAUAGCAGCUGAGGUGGAGGCCGCUCCAGGCCCGUCGGCUUCUCAUUUCUCGCGGCGGGGGACACCCAUCCCCCACCUGCCACACGGCAGGCCCCCCGUCCCUUCCCCCGCUGGGGCGACGGGCUCCGGUCCAGCCGGCUCCUCUCGGAUUGAAAUUCUCCGGACUUCAAAAGCUCCCAGCUUGGCUUCCGCCGGGGCUGGGCUGGCCUGGCCCGGGUCGGAGGGGGGUGGGUGGGAACCCCGGGGAGGCGACGGAGAUAAGAUGCGCGGGUCGUUUUAAAUGGAAUCGGAAGCCGGGCCUAGGCCCCCAGACGCGCGGGUCAGCUGGAACAGCUUCGCUCCUGAAGAAAACCGGGCUCGGAAAAGCGGCGCGUGUGGGGCCUGCCUCCGCAGUCUGCCCGCCCGGCUCGGGGGAGAUGGCCCGCGGCCCCGAUCACCCUCCCCAGCCUGCAGCGGGCCUUUCAACGGCGACAGGGCCCCGAGAAGGGAGAGAGCGAGGAGUCCUGAGCCGGGGGGCCAGGAGCUGGCUUGUCGGCUCACGUGUCGGUGAAAAUGUGAUCAGGAAAAAAAUGUUUUCGCUUCUCUUUGGUUAAAAAGUAAGAACAAAGGGAGCUUCCUUCUAAACAAUAA
This is a long non-coding RNA of Pan troglodytes (chimpanzee), 3342 nucleotides long. RefSeq lists it as uncharacterized. NCBI's taxonomy places the organism in Eukaryota, Metazoa, Chordata, Mammalia, Primates, Hominidae. The record is from RefSeq and is a predicted model, not a curated record. The transcript has 3 exons.